This is a long non-coding RNA of Lutra lutra (Eurasian river otter), 769 nucleotides long. RefSeq lists it as uncharacterized. The transcript is spliced from 3 exons. The record is from RefSeq and is a predicted model, not a curated record. NCBI's taxonomy places the organism in Eukaryota, Metazoa, Chordata, Mammalia, Carnivora, Mustelidae.
CUUUAUGUCUGUAGGAUGCUGCUAUGAUCACCUGGGCCAACUUCAUGAACAGGCAUAUUGUUGUCCCUGAGCUGAUGGUGGUGCAAAUGAGCAGACUGUCAUCAUUUUUCCAUAGGGACGUGGAAGCUUGGGGUUGCAGGAGAAUGGAAGACUGCUGCUGGGCAGGUAGCCGUGGCCUAUGCUCUAGCCUAUCCUCCCCAUUGCUCCUGUAAGAACCCAUUGAGUCUGUACUCUAUGGUCGCUCUUGGAGAUUGCUGCUCGGCACCGCCCAAGAGAAGAAAAAGCCAGAGAUUCCAUCUGGUUGGGGCCACCUUGAUCCCAGCUACUCACAAGAGCUGUUUAUUCCCACCAACACUGAACCUAGUGUAGCCCUCCUCCCUACAGGGUGGCCUUAAGAGCUGUCCAGCAGGCCUGGCAAAUUUUGUCAAAGCCAGAACACUGGGCAGGACUUCAGGGGGUGGGCCUGGGUGCUCAGCAGCCUGGAUUUGGAGAGGCAAGAGCUCAACAGAAGGUAGAGGCUUAUGAAAAGAGCAGAUUGGUGCCUCAGCUUCCUUGAUGGGAAGUGCAUGUAAUCUGUCAGGCCUCUGUGCCAGAGGUCAUUGCCCAGGGGUCACUUGGAUCCAGUAUCAUCUAUACAUAGGUAGUUAAAAUUAUAGGCUGUGGCAACAGACAAUAUGGGUCAAAAUUCUGGCUCUGCCUCUUUUUAGAUGCAUGUUACUGGGGAUUAAAGUAAGACUUGGCAAGGAGCUGAAUAAGAAGAAACAAAGAG